AUACAACUUUCAACAACGGAUCUCUUGGCUCUCGCAUCGAUGAAGAACGCAGCGAAAUGCGAUAAGUAAUGUGAAUUGCAGAAUUCAGUGAAUCAUCGAAUCUUUGAACGCACCUUGCGCUCCUUGGUAUUCCGAGGAGCAUGCCUGUUUGAGUGUCAUUAA
RNAcentral lists this ribosomal RNA (162 nucleotides) under Veluticeps fimbriata. RNAcentral's name for it is "5.8S subunit ribosomal RNA". It matches the Rfam family "5.8S ribosomal RNA". Rfam says of the family: 5.8S ribosomal RNA (5.8S rRNA) is a component of the large subunit of the eukaryotic ribosome. It is transcribed by RNA polymerase I as part of the 45S precursor that also contains 18S and 28S rRNA. Lineage: Eukaryota; Fungi; Basidiomycota; Agaricomycetes; Gloeophyllales; Gloeophyllaceae. The record is from RNAcentral.